This 470-nucleotide ribosomal RNA is filed under the name uncultured bacterium. RNAcentral's name for it is "partial 16S ribosomal RNA". It matches the Rfam family "Bacterial small subunit ribosomal RNA", at positions 28 to 523 of the family's 1533-position model. The record is from RNAcentral.
GAUGAACGCUGGCGGCGUGCCUAACACAUGCAAGUCGAGCGAUUCUCUUCGGAGAAGAGCGGCGGACGGGUGAGUAACGCGUGGGUAACCUGCCCUGUACACACGGAUAACAUACCGAAAGGUAUGCUAAUACGAGAUAAUAUGCUUUUAUCGCAUGGUAGAAGUAUCAAAGCUCCGGCGGUACAGGAUGGACCCGCGUCUGAUUAGCUAGUUGGUAAGGUAACGGCUUACCAAGGCGACGAUCAGUAGCCGACCUGAGAGGGUGAUCGGCCACAUUGGAACUGAGACACGGUCCAAACUCCUACGGGAGGCAGCAGUGGGGAAUAUUGCAUAAUGGGCGCAAGCCUGAUGCAGCAACGCCGCGUGAGUGAAGAAGGUCUUCGGAUCGUAAACUCUGUCCUUAGGGAAGAAACAAAUGACGGUACCUAAGGAGGAAGCCCCGGCUAACUACGUGCCAGCAGCCGCAGUAA